CAAGGGCUUUCUGAUAAUUUUAAUUUAAAAGCAAGGGUAAAUAUGUAAUUGUGUAUUUUCAAUAAUUCUAAUUUGGCUCAAAUUAAAUAGUUAGGGGCUUAAUGGAAAAACUAAAAAAAUAUUUAAGGGUUAAUUGAAAUUGUUUAGGAUGAGAUUGUUAGUAAUUAAAAAGUUGAGGAACUAAAUGGUAAAAAAUAAAAGUUUAGGGACCUAUUGUCGACAAUCGUUGAAAGAAAAGAAAAGAAGAAAAGGAGAAAGAGAGGAAGUCGACGUCGGGGGGGGGAGAAGGAAGAAGCUCACAUCGUCCAUGGCGGUAGGAGGAAGAGUCCGUCCGAGGGCGUCAUGAGCCACGGUGGCGGAAGAGCCGUACGGCGAGUCCAAUGGCAGUGUAAAAAGAAAGGGGGAGGGGGGAAGUUGAGGCGGCUGUCCGGCGCCAUUCGUGGCGUGUCCGUCGGCGCCAAGGAUGGCGAUCGGCUUGUCGGAGAGCGAGCUUUCUUUUGGCGGCAGCGGCGACGCUUCUGGUGGCCGGAAUUAGGAGAUCCGAUGGAGAGAGAAAGAAGGGGCAGCCGAUGUUCUCUGGUUUUUCCGGCGAGGGAUGGAUGAUCGAAGGACGUAUCCAGACUCUUCUCAGCUCAAGCUUCGCAAUGACACUAGUUUCGUGGUGAUCAGACUCCGUUUGCAAAUCGACGGCCUAGAUCGUUUAUAAAUGUCUCCAAUUGAUCGGGGGUCGGAUCGGAAAAUCAGAAGUAGUGAUCCUCAUCAGCGCGUCAGCUCAAGUCCGUUGGUGUGUUCGGAUCGUCGAUCGAACUCCGGCGGCUGGAGGCGAGUCGACCGAGCUAUCAAGCGUCUCGAUCCGUAAUUGUUAGUCUUCCCGCGGCUCUUAUCUAGCAACCCGACUCCUUCAUCAUCAGGUUUACUACGGGAUUCGGUGGCCUUACGCCUACUCAUUCUCUAGUGCCGGUUACGGGCCCACAGAUCGAGUCGUGAGGAGAUAUCCAAUUAGAAUUUAUCCCAUCAGAUGAGCAAUUGACAUACAUCUUAACUAAACCUCCUGAUCAAACACGAAAGUGACAGAUGAGCUGGUUUGGGUGAGUAUUAAAGGCGAAGCAAAGGAAAUCACACUAAUCUAUUAGGAAAUGUUAUGGGUUUACUAGUAGAAGGAGCAAAAAUUACUGAACAACACUAGUGACAAAGUUAUUCCCGGAUAUGACAAGAAGAGAUUCAUCUAAGAGCUGAGGGCCAAUCAACCAACUUUUGACUGAGAAGAUGUAUGUUGAGGAAGCUACUACUAUUUGAAAGAAAAGAAAAGGAAAAUUGUCUGAAAGUGAGAGUCCAGUUAGCUCCACUGAUGAAGAGAGAUAAGGAAAGAAGAUCAAGCUUGCUGAGGAACGGGCGAAAGAGAAGAGUGCUAAAAGCACCAAGGUCUCCAAGACCACUAAGAAGGGAAGAAAGCAUAGAUCUACUAAGCCCAUCCUCCAAGUUUACUACUUCAUUUCUUCUUCUUCUGUCUCAAAGCCUUUUAAUUUUUUUGACAAUUUGAACAAUAUUUGUUUAUGAAUGCUAAGUAUCAUUUUUUUUGUUGAUGACAAAGAAAUGGAGAAAUAUUUUUGCAUGUUGGAUAUGCUCAGGGGAUAUCUUGAAAUACUAUUGCAUGAACACAAAUAGGCAUCUGCAUAGGGGGAGCAUGCCUUAGAAUAAUUUGAAUAGAUUUAUUUUUAAUC
This is a long non-coding RNA of Ricinus communis (castor bean), 1721 nucleotides long. RefSeq lists it as uncharacterized. The transcript has 5 exons. Lineage: Eukaryota; Viridiplantae; Streptophyta; Magnoliopsida; Malpighiales; Euphorbiaceae. The record is from RefSeq and is a predicted model, not a curated record.